This 253-nucleotide unclassified non-coding RNA is filed under the name uncultured Caryophanales bacterium. RNAcentral describes it as "uncultured Bacillales bacterium contains 16S-23S intergenic spacer region". It matches the Rfam family "Bacterial small subunit ribosomal RNA", at positions 524 to 776 of the family's 1533-position model. Lineage: Bacteria; Bacillati; Bacillota; Bacilli; Caryophanales. The record is from RNAcentral.
UACAGAGGUCCCGAGCGCUGUCCGGAUUUACUGGGCGUAAAGCGCGCGCAGGCGGCCUCUUAAGUCUGAUGUGAAAGCCCCCGGCUCAACCGGGGAGGGCCAUUGGAAACUGGGAGGCUUGAGUAUAGGAGAGAAGAGUGGAAUUCCACGUGUAGCGGUGAAAUGCGUAGAGAUGUGGAGGAACACCAGUGGCGAAGGCGACUCUUUGGCCUAUAACUGACGCUGAGGCGCGAAAGCGUGGGGAGCAAACAGG